CCUACGGGAGGCAGCAGUGGGGAAUAUUGCACAAUGGGGGAAACCCUGAUGCAGCGACGCCGCGUGAGUGAAGAAGUAUUUCGGUAUGUAAAGCUCUAUCAGCAGGGAAGAAGAAAUUACGGUACCUGAGUAAGAAGCCCCGGCUAACUAGGCGCCAGCACCCGCGGUAAUACGGAGGGUCCGGGCGUUAUCCGGAUUUAGUGGGUUUAAGGGGAGCGUAGGCCGGUCGUUAAGCGUGCCGUGAAAUUUUGUGGCCCAACCAUGAGAGUGCGGCGCGAACUGGAGACCUUGAGUGCGCGGAAGGCAGGCGGAAUUCGUGGUGUAGCGGUGAAAUGCUUAGAUAUCACGAGGAACCCCGGUGGCGAAGGCAGCCUGCCGCAGCGUUACUGACGCUGAGGCUCGAAAGCGCGGGGAGCGAACAGGAUUAGAUACCCUUGUAGUC
This 442-nucleotide ribosomal RNA is filed under the name uncultured bacterium. Its description in RNAcentral is "partial 16S ribosomal RNA". It matches the Rfam family "Bacterial small subunit ribosomal RNA", at positions 338 to 795 of the family's 1533-position model. The record is from RNAcentral.